Long non-coding RNA from Oncorhynchus keta (chum salmon), 545 nucleotides. RefSeq lists it as uncharacterized. The record is from RefSeq and is a predicted model, not a curated record. NCBI's taxonomy places the organism in Eukaryota, Metazoa, Chordata, Actinopteri, Salmoniformes, Salmonidae. The transcript has 3 exons.
GGUGUGUUGUUACCAGGUAGAUAAGGAGAAACUAGUCUGGUGUGGUGUGUUGUUACCAGGUAGAUAAGGAGAAACUAGUCUGGUGUGGUGUGUUGUUACCAGGUAGAUAAGGAGAAACUAGUCUGGUGUGGUGUGUUGUUACCAGGUAGAUAAGGAGAAACUAGUCUGGUGUGGUGUGUUGUUACCAGGUAGAUAAGGAGAAACUAGUCUGGUGUGGUGUGUUGUUACCAGGUAGAUAAGGAGAAACUAGUCUGGUGUGGUGUGUUGUUACCAGGUAGAUAAGGAGAAACUAGUCUGGUGUGGUGUGUUGUUACCAGGUAGAUAAGGAGAAACUAGUCUGGUGUGGUGUGUUGUUACCAGGUAGAUAAGGAGAAACUAGUCUGGUGUGGUGUGUUGUUACCAGGUAGAUAAGGAGAAACUAGUCUGGUGUGGUGUGUUGUUACCAGGUAGAUAAGGAGAAACUAGUCUGGUGUGGUGUGUUGUUACCAGGUAGAUAAGGAGAAACUAGUCUGGUGUGGUGUGUUGUUACCAGGUAGAUAAGGAGA